RNAcentral lists this long non-coding RNA (261 nucleotides) under Elaeis guineensis (African oil palm). RNAcentral's name for it is "long non-coding RNA (EGUI_LNC051814)". Lineage: Eukaryota; Viridiplantae; Streptophyta; Magnoliopsida; Arecales; Arecaceae. The record is from RNAcentral.
AGGAGUAUGGAGACACUGGUAUGGCAUACAGGUGAGAUGUAAGGCUACAUCAUCAUUGAACUGACCAACUCUAGAGCAUUCUGCUGUCGAGAAUAUCUCUGAUGGGAUAUAGGUAUAAGUGUCCCUUAGACCUGAGAUCACCUCAGUGACUUGCAAGCAACUCACUGUGCUUUGAUACUGGACUAACUGAAUUUUUAUUCAGUGACGGAAGGCUUCUGGGCAUAGUCAAGUACUUACGAAGUCAGAGUGUGAUCGAGAUGG